UACGCGAGUCGGUGACGGCAAGCUAAUCUCUUAAAGCCAGCCUCAGUUCGGAUUGUAGGCUGCAGCUCGCCUACAUGAAGUCGGAAUCGCUAGUAAUCGCGGAUCAGCACGCCGCGGUGAAUACGUUCCCGGGCCUUGUACACACCGCCCGUCACACCACGAGAGUUUGUAACACCCGAAGUCGGUGAGGUAACCUUUUGGAGCCAGCCGCCUAAGGUGGGAUAGAUGAUUGGGGUGAAGUCGUAACAAGGUACC
Molecule: ribosomal RNA, 255 nt
Filed under: uncultured bacterium
Lineage: Bacteria
Description: partial 16S ribosomal RNA
Rfam family: Bacterial small subunit ribosomal RNA
Source: RNAcentral